ACAAACUUAUACUUAAACAAGAUUUAUUCUAUAUGAUCGUAUGUGUUCUUGAUUUUUAAGGAAACAUGAAUAUAAAUCUGGUGGAUGGAUUAUGAUGUGUGAUCAACGGUGCUGUGGUGAGACCCUAUGGGGGAUCAUCACUGGCUAUAAAUGAUCGUUCUUAGCUAUCCCUGCCCAGUUGAAUUAACUUAACAGAUU
This 198-nucleotide small nucleolar RNA is filed under the name Trifolium pratense (red clover). Its description in RNAcentral is "snoRNA Plant_U3". The record is from RNAcentral. Lineage: Eukaryota; Viridiplantae; Streptophyta; Magnoliopsida; Fabales; Fabaceae.